RNAcentral lists this ribosomal RNA (2753 nucleotides) under Escherichia coli. Its description in RNAcentral is "23S ribosomal RNA from Escherichia coli (PDB 11BQ, chain a)". It matches the Rfam family "Bacterial large subunit ribosomal RNA". RNAcentral also lists the same sequence under 1 other name. Lineage: Bacteria; Pseudomonadati; Pseudomonadota; Gammaproteobacteria; Enterobacterales; Enterobacteriaceae. The record is from RNAcentral.
GGUUAAGCGACUAAGCGUACACGGUGGAUGCCCUGGCAGUCAGAGGCGAUGAAGGACGUGCUAAUCUGCGAUAAGCGUCGGUAAGGUGAUAUGAACCGUUAUAACCGGCGAUUUCCGAAUGGGGAAACCCAGUGUGUUUCGACACACUAUCAUUAACUGAAUCCAUAGGUUAAUGAGGCGAACCGGGGGAACUGAAACAUCUAAGUACCCCGAGGAAAAGAAAUCAACCGAGAUUCCCCCAGUAGCGGCGAGCGAACGGGGAGCAGCCCAGAGCCUGAAUCAGUGUGUGUGUUAGUGGAAGCGUCUGGAAAGGCGCGCGAUACAGGGUGACAGCCCCGUACACAAAAAUGCACAUGCUGUGAGCUCGAUGAGUAGGGCGGGACACGUGGUAUCCUGUCUGAAUAUGGGGGGACCAUCCUCCAAGGCUAAAUACUCCUGACUGACCGAUAGUGAACCAGUACCGUGAGGGAAAGGCGAAAAGAACCCCGGCGAGGGGAGUGAAAAAGAACCUGAAACCGUGUACGUACAAGCAGUGGGAGCACGCUUAGGCGUGUGACUGCGUACCUUUUGUAUAAUGGGUCAGCGACUUAUAUUCUGUAGCAAGGUUAACCGAAUAGGGGAGCCGAAGGGAAACCGAGUCUUAACUGGGCGUUAAGUUGCAGGGUAUAGACCCGAAACCCGGUGAUCUAGCCAUGGGCAGGUUGAAGGUUGGGUAACACUAACUGGAGGACCGAACCGACUAAUGUUGAAAAAUUAGCGGAUGACUUGUGGCUGGGGGUGAAAGGCCAAUCAAACCGGGAGAUAGCUGGUUCUCCCCGAAAGCUAUUUAGGUAGCGCCUCGUGAAUUCAUCUCCGGGGGUAGAGCACUGUUUCGGCAAGGGGGUCAUCCCGACUUACCAACCCGAUGCAAACUGCGAAUACCGGAGAAUGUUAUCACGGGAGACACACGGCGGGUGCUAACGUCCGUCGUGAAGAGGGAAACAACCCAGACCGCCAGCUAAGGUCCCAAAGUCAUGGUUAAGUGGGAAACGAUGUGGGAAGGCCCAGACAGCGUCGAGUCGGCCUGCGCGGAAGAUGUAACGGGGCUAAACCAUGCACCGAAGCUGCGGCAGCGACGCGCGUUGUUGGGUAGGGGAGCGUUCUGUAAGCCUGCGAAGGUGUGCUGUGAGGCAUGCUGGAGGUAUCAGAAGUGCGAAUGCUGACAUAAGUAACGAUAAAGCGGGUGAAAAGCCCGCUCGCCGGAAGACCAAGGGUUCCUGUCCAACGUUAAUCGGGGCAGGGUGAGUCGACCCCUAAGGCGAGGCCGAAAGGCGUAGUCGAUGGGAAACAGGUUAAUAUUCCUGUACUUGGUGUUACUGCGAAGGGGGGACGGAGAAGGCUAUGUUGGCCGGGCGACGGUUGUCCCGGUUUAAGCGUGUAGGCUGGUUUUCCAGGCAAAUCCGGAAAAUCAAGGCUGAGGCGUGAUGACGAGGCACUACGGUGCUGAAGCAACAAAUGCCCUGCUUCCAGGAAAAGCCUCUAAGCAUCAGGUAACAUCAAAUCGUACCCCAAACCGACACAGGUGGUCAGGUAGAGAAUACCAAGGCGCUUGAGAGAACUCGGGUGAAGGAACUAGGCAAAAUGGUGCCGUAACUUCGGGAGAAGGCACGCUGAUAUGUAGGUGAGGUCCCUCGCGGAUGGAGCUGAAAUCAGUCGAAGAUACCAGCUGGCUGCAACUGUUUAUUAAAAACACAGCACUGUGCAAACACGAAAGUGGACGUAUACGGUGUGACGCCUGCCCGGUGCCGGAAGGUUAAUUGAUGGGGUUAGCGCAAGCGAAGCUCUUGAUCGAAGCCCCGGUAAACGGCGGCCGUAACUAUAACGGUCCUAAGGUAGCGAAAUUCCUUGUCGGGUAAGUUCCGACCUGCACGAAUGGCGUAAUGAUGGCCAGGCUGUCUCCACCCGAGACUCAGUGAAAUUGAACUCGCUGUGAAGAUGCAGUGUACCCGCGGCAAGACGGAAAGACCCCGUGAACCUUUACUAUAGCUUGACACUGAACAUAUGUUCUAACGUUGACCCGUAAUCCGGGUUGCGGACAGUGUCUGGUGGGUAGUUUGACUGGGGCGGUCUCCUCCUAAAGAGUAACGGAGGAGCACGAAGGUUGGCUAAUCCUGGUCGGACAUCAGGAGGUUAGUGCAAUGGCAUAAGCCAGCUUGACUGCGAGCGUGACGGCGCGAGCAGGUGCGAAAGCAGGUCAUAGUGAUCCGGUGGUUCUGAAUGGAAGGGCCAUCGCUCAACGGAUAAAAGGUACUCCGGGGAUAACAGGCUGAUACCGCCCAAGAGUUCAUAUCGACGGCGGUGUUUGGCACCUCGAUGUCGGCUCAUCACAUCCUGGGGCUGAAGUAGGUCCCAAGGGUAUGGCUGUUCGCCAUUUAAAGUGGUACGCGAGCUGGGUUUAGAACGUCGUGAGACAGUUCGGUCCCUAUCUGCCGUGGGCGCUGGAGAACUGAGGGGGGCUGCUCCUAGUACGAGAGGACCGGAGUGGACGCAUCACUGGUGUUCGGGUUGUCAUGCCAAUGGCACUGCCCGGUAGCUAAAUGCGGAAGAGAUAAGUGCUGAAAGCAUCUAAGCACGAAACUUGCCCCGAGAUGAGUUCUCCCUGACCCUUUAAGGGUCCUGAAGGAACGUUGAAGACGACGACGUUGAUAGGCCGGGUGUGUAAGCGCAGCGAUGCGUUGAGCUAACCGGUACUAAUGAACCGUGAGGCUUAACCU